UACGGGGGGGGCAAGCGUUGUUCGGAAUUACUGGGCGUAAAGGGCUCGUAGGCGGCCAACUAAGUCAGACGUGAAAUCCCUCGGCUUAACCGGGGAACUGCGUCUGAUACUGGAUGGCUUGAGUUUGGGAGAGGGAUGCGGAAUUCCAGGUGUAGCGGUGAAAUGCGCAGAUAUCAGGAGGAACACCAAUAGCGAAGGCAGCUCGCUGGGACGUUACUGACACUGAGGCGCGAAAGCGUGGGGAGCGAACAGG
RNAcentral lists this ribosomal RNA (253 nucleotides) under uncultured bacterium. Its description in RNAcentral is "partial 16S ribosomal RNA". It matches the Rfam family "Bacterial small subunit ribosomal RNA", at positions 524 to 776 of the family's 1533-position model. The record is from RNAcentral.